UACGUAGGGGGCUAGCGUUAUCCGGAAUUACUGGGCGUAAAGGGUGCGUAGGUGGUUUCUUAAGUCAGAGGUGAAAGGCUACGGCUCAACCGUAGUAAGCCUUUGAAACUGGGAAACUUGAGUGCAGAAGAGGGAAGUGGAAUUCCAUGUGUAGCGGUGAAAUGCGUAGAGAUAUGGAGGAACACCAGUGGCGAAGGCGGCUUCCUGGUCUGCAACUGACACUGAGGCGCGAAAGCGUGGGGAGCAAACAGG
RNAcentral lists this ribosomal RNA (252 nucleotides) under uncultured bacterium. Its description in RNAcentral is "partial 16S ribosomal RNA". It matches the Rfam family "Bacterial small subunit ribosomal RNA", at positions 524 to 776 of the family's 1533-position model. The record is from RNAcentral.